Camellia sinensis is the source of this 1693-nucleotide non-coding RNA. NCBI's taxonomy places the organism in Eukaryota, Viridiplantae, Streptophyta, Magnoliopsida, Ericales, Theaceae. The record is from RefSeq and is a predicted model, not a curated record.
GUGGUAUAACGCUACUGCUUGCAAUGAUACAACGCUCCUGUUUGCUUGGUUUCUUACUCUUUCCUUGCAGAUUUUGGGCUACACAUGGGGGUCUUCAAAUCAUCCACAUACACAAUAGAAGAAGAAGACAAAUUUCACCACUCCUAGAAAUUUCCAAGAUCAGCGCUCCUGCUGCCUAUUUUCUAGAGCUUUUCUAUUACAACCCACCCAUGUGAAGAAAAGAUCUAUUUUUCUGGUUCUCAUUUGGUUCAUCAGAAAUUUCUAGAACCCAAUACUAUUCUUUGGAAGAAGAUCGAACCUGCCAAAGCAGUUCAAUUUGUCUACUCCCUCAACUACAUCGAAUGAGGGCCAUCCCACACCCUCCAAGUCUUCCUCCUAGAAAGUUCAUUCAGUCAGUGCAUCAUUUGUGGAGAAAUAGUUGGGACGGCAUUCUGCCGCUGCACUGGAUGAGGACCCAAUCGAAUACAUCUACAUACAAUGUCCAAUAUUCUGUGGUGGUGAAUCGAUUGUACAAAAUCAUCAAUCCUAUAUAUUCAACGUCUACGAUUUUUUAUUCACCAUGUACAUAGAUAAGCUCCUAAACAGAAGACUCCCAAAUUGCUCCACCUCGUAAUACAUUAUUACAAACCUUUUGUUUUGUUUAUACAUUAGAUGAUUACACAUCAUGAUCUUCAAUUUCUUUGGUUUGCAGAUGUUGGUAUUGGAUUUGUACGUUUGUGUGUUAAAUCAGUGUUUGUUAAUAUGUAUACCUUGCACACAUUGUGUUUGACAAUAUACCUAUAAGAGAAAACUUAUUAUGUUCAUAUGCUCAUGAUAUUUAUUGCCAAUGAAAUUGGUUUAUUUUAUUUUAUUCCUUCAUAUCAAAACAUUCCAAACGAAUUAACUUGCCUGUUUUUGUUAUAAGACUUUGAAUGGUUAUUUUGCUAUGGUUUCAUAUGGUUUCUUUCAUGCUAAGUUUCUCUUGGCAGGUUUCAAGGUUUAUAUCAAUCAUGACAAAGUUGAUACUUGUGAAAGUUCACAAUGUGAAGUGAGCUCAAGCACAGUUGAAAGCAACCAAGAUAGAAUUCUGAAGGUGCCAGGUUUUGCAGGAACUAAAAAUUCAGUUUGGCCAUGUGUUGGGAUGCGAUGAAAUUGGUACAUGCAAAAUAUCAGUUGGACGAGGUGGUGCUCUUUGUUUACUUGUGCAGCUACGUGGGUUGGAAAAAAGAGUUGGCCAGUCGGUGCACCAUAUAUAUAUAUGUCUAUACUCUUUGUUCUGUUUCACUUCCUAUCUUAGUUCAACUUCGUUGUUUCUGGGUUCACAAAUUAUAACCCAAACUCCACAAUCUGGUGAUCGAGCACCAGAUCAAAGCUAGUGGCGUCAACCCGAACCCUUGUUUUGUCAAGCCAGCUAUUGUGCCUCAUCGCGAGGUUCCGAACCAACACGUGUCAAGGCUUUUUAGGUGGUUCAAAUUCACCCCUUUGAUAUUGGUCAAGUGAAAUGAAUGUUUUAUGACUUUUGUUAAUAUUGUUUUCGAUAAUGGGAUUUAAUUCCCUACAUUGUGUUUUGUCUUGUAUAUAUGAGCUUUAUGGACAUAAGUGUUCAUGUAUAUAACUAUGUAUAUGAAAGUUUAUUUCCAUUCAGGUCCUCAGAGCUCAUUGGACGAUGUAUAUUAUUAUUGAUUGGCUUCAACCAGCCCUUUUAUAUUGUAUU